Long non-coding RNA from Lates calcarifer (barramundi perch), 5549 nucleotides. RefSeq lists it as uncharacterized. Lineage: Eukaryota; Metazoa; Chordata; Actinopteri; Centropomidae. The record is from RefSeq and is a predicted model, not a curated record. The transcript is spliced from 2 exons.
GUAGUGAGCUAGCUAACCCAGUAAACACAGCUGCAUUCACACGUCAUAUGUUGCUAGCUACAAAUUAUCAAACGCAUCCUUCGGGGUCUGGAAAUAUGUUUAAGCUUCUCUUCUUUGCGAACGGAUAUUUGAUAAAUGACUGACUGCCAAUAUUCUUGGACAGCGUUAUGGAGGAGAGAUGUCUGUUUGCCGCCCGGCCUGCAGCAGCUCCAGGUGAGGCCAUUCCUCAGAUCACCCGCCGACUGGACCCCGACUUGUCACCGCAGGAAAAACACAGGUCUAUUGUAUGAGACAGACAGAGUGAACUAGAGGUGUUUCUGGGUGGAUGAGUUGAGUCUCACAGUGGGAGAUGAGAAGGAGGCUUUGGAUGCUACUUCAGGAGGAACUGCAGAGUGAGAGACAGGGAGGGAGCAACUGUGGAUGCCUGCUCCCGGCUCCCAUCAUACAAACACACACUCGUACACACUCAGAUCUCGCACAGCUCAGCAUGCCUCGAGAUGCUUUGAGUCAUGCCACCAUAUAUGUGUGUGUGCUUGUGUGCACGGUUCUCACUGUAUGGAUAAAAUACUCAGUAAAAGUGUAGACACAUGUAUGAUAUAUCUGUGUGUAUGGCUAUGAGUGAGUCUGAGCAAUGAUUGCACUGUGGUUAACAACCAAAAGCAAGCAUUGGCUUGAUGAAAGGCUGUUGUCAUCUGUUCUGUAGAAAUGUAACCAUCAGAGCUCCCUGUGGAUCCAGCGACAGGCUUUUCUUUUGUAUAACACUGAAUAAAAGGGUACAGUGCAUUAAUCUAACCCUGCUUGGGGAAACAAAGGAAGGCCCACUGAUACAGUAUAACAAUAGCAUAAGAAAGGAAACAUGGAGUGUCUCUGAGUGCUACUGCCAUAUCUUAUAAUGUUAUUAACACUGCUCAACACUGCUGUCAAUGCAGGAAACGUAUGUGAAUUAUCUAAUAGUAACAAUAUAUGACACCUUUCUUUCCUUCUUUCUUGGAACAAGGACAACACAAUCACAUGGUUACAUUUGCACAAAGGAUUAUUUGAUAACUCACUGUAUAAAACAGACGAGAAAGCACCAGCUGUUUGAUCGUUUGAGAUUUUAAGAUAAGAGUAAAUAUGCUUAUAUAAGUUUGCUUUCUUCCUUAGAGUUAGCUGAGAGGAUCAAUACUCUCAAGUCUGUGCUAAAUAUAAAACUAGAGCCCUACGAUGGUUAGCUUAGCUUAGCAUAAACCUACCAACACCAAUUGAAACACCAUUAAUUAACACUCAGAGUCUUCUCCACCUGACUAAGAAAUCAUCUUGCUCACAAACCCUGUAAAACCAAUAACUUGAUUUUGGGGUUUUAUAUGAAAUAAACAGGUGAGAUGUAAUGUUUUUUUAGUGAGCUGGUAGGCAGAUUUUUUUUUAUUCAACUUAAAUCAAUCCUCUCAUGUAACUCUUGGAAAGAUGUUUUUAUCAGAUUCUUGACAAGAAAGUGAAAGAGCUAUUCCUUAAGGUUACAUUUUUCACUCAUACAUUGGAAUAGUUUGCUAUUGUGUGAGAGGUGGUGUGGAUGCUGUUAGAUUUUUAAACUGGAUUGCACUAUAGCCCACCAAGUCCUAAACCUCUAAAGGAUCAAAAAGUACGACUAUCCAGUAUUGUAAACACUGGUAGUCAGGACAUGUAUUUGCACAUUUUUGACAUGUCUGUGAUUUAUGUGCAAACAUGAACAUUUUCACAUAUGAUGAGGUAAAGCUGAUCCUUGUGUCUGCUAAAGCUGACUGAGAGACUGAGCCACUGUGCUUUCUGGCAAUCACAUCACUAACACACCAUGGUCUCCUCAUUUCCCUGCCCUGAGGGAUAGCCUCACGAAACCAACACAGACUUCAUUUUCACCCCUCACAGGGUUUCUGUAGCCGUUCAUAUCCUCUGUCAACAAAUUACAUGUGUGUGAUAGAAGCAUGUGCAUACCACAGCUCUACUUCUUCCAAAGCAGUGGGAGGUUGAGGGGAUGCUUCUAUUAUGGACAUUUGGUGGUAGGUGUGUGGGUUGUGGGGUUGGGAGUAUGGAGUGUAUUAAGAGCCAUGUAAAUAAAUGUCAAUUGGAAAGUCAGUGAAACAGUUGGAGAGAAUGCAGCAGCCCCUGCAGAUCUGUGGGCUGUGUUAAUAUUGUCAGCACUGUGGCUGAUUGAGGAGAAGAAGAGAUGGAACCCAGCUUGUGGGCAGCCACCCGGAUCAUAUUAGUGGAGGAGUGUAACCAGAAUCAAUUUCAACAUGCUUUUACUCUCUAUAACCACAGCUGCCUGACUGCUUCCAUGCUCACAAAUAAUAUGUGCCAUGGCAAGCAUGUGGUCAAUCACUAUCUAUGAACCAAUCAGAAUACUUAAUAGAAUCAUGUCAUAUAGUUAAUUGUACUGAUUAAGCUCUGUGUGUUAAUCAAGUAAUGGUUUUACUUAUUUUAUAUUUUUAAAAAUAUUUCACAUUCUAGAUCUAGUUACUGUUUCUGUGGGUGUCUAUUCCUUCAAACAAUGCAAACAAUGAUGGUCCUCGUACAAAGAUAGUGGGACUGUCAUAGCACCUUUGAGAUGUGUACAGUUUAUGGCUUUUCAGAGUAAUGAAUAGGUCAUUAUAUCAGUGGUUAUGAGCUCAGUUGGUGAGGUGCGUAAUGGAUGGUGAAUGGUACUACAGAGAAAAAACUCUUUAUGUGUAGAUGUAGUGUGUUUUAGCUUGUUUGUCUAUUUGCAUAUGUAUGUUUGAGAGGCCUUCUUUACACAAUGUACAACUCUAAAAAACUGAAGUGCUACUUGAACUUCUGCUACAUAAAAAUACUUUUUAUGCCUCUGUGACAGCCAUGGCUGGAGGCAUUAUACUUUCACCUGGACUCAUGGAUGAACAGAUUAGAAUUCAUUUGUAGAAUUUGUAGAUUAGUCAAAGCUCAAAGGUUAAGGUCACUGAGACCUUAAUAAUAUUAACUGUUACUGGACUGGUUGGCAGAGGCAUACAACUUUGAAGUGAUAUUCUAUUCUGUUUGUGGCAAUUUCAUCAUUACUCAUCAUACAGCUGCUCCUCUGGUGAAUCCAUUGGGCACGUAAUAUUCAGUAUUCUGCUAGGUGCAACGUCUUGUUUUAUGUGUGUUUGUGUGUCGUGGCUGAUGUGCCUGUGUGCAGGUGUGCAUGAGUAUUCUUGUCAGCACAGGCUAUUGUUCAGUUUCCUUCUUCUGCAGAGAUGUAACCAUACUUUGGUUGACAGCAUGUGGGAAUGCACAUUGUGAUAAAGCAAUUUCCUGUAUGCAAAUGCCCUGUUUACACGUUCAUGCUCCAGUCACUGUCACUUGACGGAUUGCUUGCGUAUGAGCAAAGCAGCUAUACGAUGAAAAAUGAGAAUAGUAAGACCUCAAUAAAGAAUCUAUUGUGACUAUUCUUAGCACUAGACAUGCUUGAAACUGAUGUCACAGGGAAGAAUUUCACACAACCACACACACACACAUACAAAUUACAGAAAGAUCAAGACCAGUAUUCACAACAGCUCUAUAGCAGCAGAUAGAGGAGGUGGUGGAGAAGCUCAUCCUUGAUAUAAUGAGGAAAAAUGAUAGAAAGUGGAGGGAUGAGGUAAUGGAUGUCAUGGGAACAAGGAGAUGUGUAAGUGAGAAUGAGUGAAGAUGAGAAGGAGAGAGAAUAGGCAGGGUCGACGUGACAGAGGGUUAUUGAAAGCAAGAGGAUGUUGCAGGAGACAGAAUGGGCUGAGGCCUCUGUGUGAUGCUUUCAGUGUUGCCGCAAGAUCUACCUGACUGUCUGUCUCUAGCAGGGAGGAUGAUGAGAUGUUCUGAAAGUGCUCACGCACACCUGCAGAGCUAAUUCACAGUCUCUGAUUCACUACUACCAUUCUGCGCAGGCUAAAUGCAAGUCUUUUCACACCACGAGGUUAUGCAUUCCCUACAUGGUGCAAUCAUACCAAUCAGCAUUUCUUUCUUUAAAGCACAUCUAUCAACUACUGUUAAACUCAUCUACGUGGUGCAGCCUGGCUGGAUAAAACAUUCGAAUUCACUUCCUUGCCUGAGUGUCUAGUCUACAAUCACAGCACCAGUAAUUAUGUUAUCUUUGAAUUCUUCCUUGUGGAACAGCAUAAAAAAGCAGUUUUUUUCAUAGCGAGUAUGGUAAAAGCUUUGAACAUGGAUGUGAGGUGAAAGACUGAAGAUGGCUUAGGUGAGAGUUUUGGAAAAAAAAAAGUGUUUGUCUCACUUGACCCUGAGUGGGAAUGUCAGGCUUAUUUAGCCACUUGGUCUAUAAUAGAAUUAAUAUUGUCUCUAGCCCACACAUACACACAGAGCGGUGAUAAAGGUGGCCCUGACUUCCAGAGGUCAAAGGGCAUGUGACAGGCGAGACACCUUGAUGAGGAAAAGCACUUGGGCUGGCAUCAGAAAGUGUGCUGUGGUAGCCUUCUGGAACGACCCAUAUUUAAUCAAAGAAUGACCUCUGGCAUCCUCAUUAGCAGCUCAUUGUAUGUUGGUAAACAAUAGUUUUUAGAGAGUUAUUUUCUAAUAAUGUAACUCUCAAAACUUUCCUGAUUUUUCCUUUGUGACACACGCACAGAGCCUGUUGUUCUGUUUCCUCCCUUUUCCCAGUCAUGGAGAGAUGUAGGGCAUUUAUCCACUGACAGCACUUGUAAAUGGCGAGAGUGAUAACUGGAGAACAACAGCUCCAGAUUCUCAUCUCAGAGCACUAAUAUGAUGAGACGGGUGCUGGGUGCAUGGGGGCAGGCAAUAUAAUUAAGGUCUCUCCCCAGAAUGUAAUCUUUCAGGGAAGAGCCUGGGCGGGGAGCGGGACAGAUGACAGGAGCGCAGGGAGAACAAAACACUCUCCAUCUAGGGAGCAGCGAGAUGAAGGCCUGCGAGCCGGUAUUCCGUUGGGGAGGCAGGGAGGGAAAAGUGAGGUAAAUGGGAGGUAAUGCUAGGAUGGUGAAGCCAGCCAGCCUCUUUCAGCUCCCCGGCUAUUCAGCUCAAUCCUCCGUGGAGGCCCCAUCAGAGCUGGUGACUGCUCCUGGCCCCCGAAAAGAGAUGAUGGCACGAAAGGGGGGAGGGAACUGAGAGAGAGAACGAAAAGAGUGGGAGCUGAAGAUAAUGGAUGUUUGUUUAUUUCACAUACAGAACUGAGGAGCAGUAACCAAGGAUGAUCAGUGGUUGCUAUGCAUCCCUGAAUUUUUUUAGUUUUUACAGAAGACAUUCACUGCUGAGGACCAUUAUUACAGUCAAUCAAAUCUGACAUUAAAGUCUCAUCAGAAUAUCAACAAUUAUGUAAAAUAUCAGCUCGCUGGUUCACUAACAAGAAGUCUUAACUAUUCCAAUCCUAUUAAGGCAAUCCACAGAGAACCUGACACUUGUUUUACCAACCGUCAGAGUACAUUCUUGCUGUUAAUCUCCCAAAUAGUUGUGCAGGUGCAUUGAAUUUGUUUCCAUUUGAAGGUUUCACCCAAGCCUGACAGGUCUUGAUACCACUGCUUCAAGGAACAAGAUAUCUCUUGCUGCAGAUGUUUCCCAGGAUACACAAGGUAGAAAAGCUGCCUAGCUCUAUAUAGAUG